GAUGAACGCUGGCGGCGUGCCUAAUACAUGCAAGUCGAGCGAAGCGGGGACGGGUGAGUAAUACGUGGCUAACAUCCUUUAAGACUGGGAUAACUUAGGGAAACCGGAGAUAAAACGGUUACUCAUAGAUGGUUGCUCGCUGCAGUAGCUAGUGGGUAAGGUAACGGGGUACCAAGGCAACGAUGCAUAGCAGACCUGAGAGGGUGAUCGGCCACACUGGAACUGAGACACGGUCCAGACUCCUACGGGAGGCAGCAGUGGGGAAUCUUCCACAAUGGGCGAAAGCCUGACGGAGCAAUGCCGCGUGAGUGAUGAAGGUCUUCGGAUCGUAAAGCUCUGUUAUUAGGGAAGCGUUACCUAAUCAGAAAGCCACGGCUAACUACGUGCCAGCAGCCGCGGUAAUAC
Molecule: ribosomal RNA, 405 nt
Filed under: uncultured bacterium
Lineage: Bacteria
Description: partial 16S ribosomal RNA
Rfam family: Bacterial small subunit ribosomal RNA
Source: RNAcentral